This 73-nucleotide transfer RNA is filed under the name bacterium. Its description in RNAcentral is "tRNA-Met". It matches the Rfam family "tRNA". Rfam says of the family: Transfer RNA (tRNA) molecules are approximately 80 nucleotides in length. Their secondary structure includes four short double-helical elements and three loops (D, anti-codon, and T loops). Further hydrogen bonds mediate the characteristic L-shaped molecular structure. tRNAs have two regions of fundamental functional importance: the anti-codon, which is responsible for specific mRNA codon recognition, and the 3' end, to which the tRNAs corresponding amino acid is attached (by aminoacyl-tRNA synthetases). tRNAs cope with the degeneracy of the genetic code in two manners: having more than one tRNA (with a specific anti-codon) for a particular amino acid; and 'wobble' base-pairing, i.e. permitting non-standard base-pairing at the 3rd anti-codon position. The record is from RNAcentral.
AGCGAGGUGGAGAAGUUGGUAUCUCGGAAGGUUCAUAACCUUCAGGUCGCGGGUUCGAGUCCCGUCUUCGCAA